Molecule: long non-coding RNA, 10333 nt
Organism: Mustela erminea (ermine)
Lineage: Eukaryota; Metazoa; Chordata; Mammalia; Carnivora; Mustelidae
Exons: 10
Source: RefSeq, a predicted model, not a curated record
UGAGAUCAUGACCUAAGCCAAAGGCAGAGGCUUUUACCCACUGAGCCACCCAGGCACCCCAUGAUGAUAUUUUUCUUAACUAAGUUUAAUUUACAGGCUAAGCUGGGUUCUCACCCCCGAAUUCCUCCCUUUGCUCUGGUUUUCCCAACAACUAUGAACAACUUAAAGUACCUUCAAAUUCUUUGACUCUAAAAUAAUCACACUCGCUCCCACAGGUAAUCCUACUUCAUCGCAAACUCUGCUCACUUUGCUCUGUGCACUUGCAGGAGGUUGUCUGAUGUAGGCCUACCAUCUACCUACUUUCAGCAAUAUCGGAAGGGGCACAUAUACUGCUCAGUGGGGAAGGGUCUGUCCUGGGAGCUCCACCCAUUCUGCAGGGACUGGGCAGGGACAAAGGUUCAGGCCCCUAGGGCUUUGAUGCACAGGGCCCAGGGGUCCAGAGGUGUAGGUCAAUGCUGCUUCCCAUGUGCAGCUUCCAAGUGGAUUCGGGUCUCCACACGCCUCUGCUGUCUCUGUAGUUGUCCUUUUUCCAUCUCCUGGUUCUUCUGACUUUGCAACAUUUCUUCACAUACCUCAGCACAUGUCCACUACCUUCCAUUUUCUCAGACUACAGAUUAAAUUUGCAUGAGGUAUGCAUGUGUUUGCACCUAAAAGUCCUAAUAACUUCCCACUUUACCUCGAAACAUCUCAAACUGUUCCUCCAUACAGGAGAAAUAAAGGAAAUUUCUGUUCUUGGAAUCACAUGGAUAACUAAACCCCUACUCCUCCUUGUUAACAUAAUAUCCUUACUACAAUAAUAUUCAGGUACAGGCAUGAUGUCAAUUUCUAGGCAAUUUUAGCACUCAGGCCAAAGUAUCCUCCCCGCACAGAUACUCCACAAUGAUAGUAUCACCCUCCUCUACCCCAAACUGCAUCUAAUCUAGCCACUUAUUCUACAGCCUGCAUUACAUGUUUUAAAUUGCUGUACCUGAGAGAGGAGGCAGUAACCGUGGGGAAGACUGGUGAUGGGGUCUGACUCUAGCGACCUCCUGCCAUUAGCCAAGGCCAUCUGGCAUAAAGUGACCAGGAAUCUUCUCCCUCAAUAACAGCUUAUAUCCCAUGGGUGAUUCCUUUACAGGGCUUUGUCCUGGCCAAAGGGACACAACAGAUGAAAGGAAAGCUGCUCUUGGAUCCCAUGCAGCUACCCAGUUCUACGGGGAUCUACAGCUAAAAUCUACCUCUUUAAUCUGAGUCACAGUGAUGCCAGGGAGUCACCUGUGAAAAUUCCACGGAAAAGGCCCUUUUCAGACGCUUUCCAGCCAUACCCCUGUACUGAUGGCUACAGGAAGUUUGCGCAAACCUUCUCUCCAGGCCCUUGGGAGGCAUGAGAGCCCGGGAAGAAACGUGACUGUGCAGUGUCAUGGGCCAGACAGUAUGCUCGAAGAUGUAAUGUUUGUUCUCCUGAAAACAAGUACCAGAAAGCGUGGAUAGCACCAGCGACUUGAAGGACAAAGAAGACUUCUCCCUUAGGAACGUGACAGUCAAUGACACUGGAAACUACAGCUGCGUCUACUACCAAAGGCUCCUUUCUUGGCCUCAGACCCCAGUAAGCGCCUUGAAAUCUUGGAAACACCACUCUGAGCAAUGUCAAGUACCCUCGGGAAGGGACUCAGACCCGCGGGGAUAACGAGGGCCUGCAGCCUGAGAGCCGAGGGCUACUGCUCACGGUCGCACAGAGAAGAAGCGGCACAGUCAUCAUUCAGACCCAGGCCUGUCUGGCUCCAGAGUCCCUGCUGUCUCUGGCCGGCCACAGUGGGACAUUAAGAGGAAUGCGUGUAUGGGGUCUUCAGAGUGCAAAUGUCCUCAGACGGAGUGUACAGACGGGCAGUGGCUCAUCUGCGGAGGUGACACAGGAGUGGGUCACACAAGCGUAGGGAGGCUCUCAGGAUGUCUGGCCUCUCAGGUCUGUCCGUAGGCACCAAAGAAGCCUGGUGUCCCCAAGGCGGGUGGGUGUGAUCACCAGGCAGUGGUCACCAUGGCCUAGCUCUGUCUUCACCACGUUCCUCUGAUCCCGAUACUCCAGACUAGAUCGAAGAGCCCCGUCUUGGGAAGGUGAGCGGGAUCCACACUGAAGCCGCCCACCUGUGUUUCCAGGAGAGGAGGAAUCAGGUGUGCACCUUGCAGCCUCCACGCCUGCACAUGCUGGUCGAGUGACUCUGAAAUACAUCUGUGGUGCUGGGGCUUGGUUUCCUUAUCCACACAGUGAGGGCAACAACGACCGCCUGCAGGCCCACCGCAGUGACUAGAGGCUGUGCAGGCACAGGAAGAUUACUGUUACUUCCAUGGCGGAAGGAAUCCUGCCAUCCCCCUCCCUGGCUCAGGCGCUAUUUCUGCUGGAAAUCCCCCACAGAGAGCUGUCCAUCAUCGGUGACAUGCAGAGCUGACACGCGACGCCAGUCAGACAAGAAGCCAGGUGAUCCAGAGCGUGUCCAGCCAACAUGUUCUUCCAGCCAUGCUGGCUGAAGCCCUCAAGCCUCAGAGGGACACCCAACUCGGGAUGCAGUGGAGGGUCCCGGGGCCCCUCAGCAGUGUCUACAGGGGUGCGUGAGGGUGUUGAGCAGGCAGGAACUGAAGAGGUCUGGAGGUUUCCAAACGCUGCGUGGUGCUCAGCCGGGAGACGGCAGGUCAAGGGCACCGAGUUCCAGUGGGAAUCACUCAGCACGCGCUUCAUGAUGCUGAGACUCCUUCCUUAACCAAGACGAACUGGACCCUCGGUCCUCAAUCCGUCCUCUGCCCUGAUCCUCCACAUCUCUCGGCCGCCACUCUGGUGUCCACCACCCUGUCCGCUCCCUUUGCUCCAUCCAUACUGUGAGCCCUCCACCCUCACACAGCUACAGCCAGAGCAGCACACCCACCCCCACAGCACGGUCACUGCAACGGGGACCGGUCCACCUUGGGGCUCCACCUGUCUGCAGGCACUGGGCAGGAGGGACAGGGGCCCAGGCCCCAGGGCUCUGGCUCACAGAGGCCAGGCUGUCCGGCUGGGGUCCUGCUUCGUGCCGAAUGUGUCUUCCCCACGCCUGCUUGCCCGAACUCACAGACUUGCCGGCAUGUGUGCUCUUGGGAGCUGGGAGCUCCCUGAGAUGUCAUCACUUUACAUUCCUUCUCCAGGAACUUCGAGUUCUCCGUUUCCUUGGAGUCCAUCCCUGGAAAGUUCCCACAUUCCCUGAUGGUGUUGCUUGCUUCCUCAGGUUUCUUCCAGCGGGGCUGUGCCGGGACACCUCUCCCGGCCUCUCUGGGCUGGCACAGGUGGGCUCUCCCCUGAAGGCAGCUGUGGGGUGUCUGAGGUGUGGGUGAUGGCAGGUCUCUCACAGGACUGGGUCUCGGGGCCUCCAGCCGGGGAGGGGGACGCAGCAGCUGCACAGGCCCUGGGAGGACAGGGCACGUCAGCAGCUGAGGCUCCUGGGGCAGGUCCCUGCCGCAGGGACAGCCCCAGUCCCAGGGAGCCCCAGCAGCUGGGACUGUGGACCGUCAGCUGGGACUGGCCUCGGGUGAAUACUGUGGGGCUCAUGGGGGUGAGGCUUGCUGGGUUCCCCUGUGCGGUGCAACCCCUCCAAGGGGAUGUCCCCCCCGGGGCCCAGCUGCUCUGCACUGGGGGACACAGGGCUGCAGGUUGAAGGCUGCCCUCACUUCUCCAUGUGACCACACCUGCCUGUUGCACUCUCAGCACUUCUGCUGCCUCUUCGCCGCAGUCGGAGAUUCCCCAGAGCUAUUUCCGUCGUCUCUAGCUGUGUUUUGUAACCGUUCUUGUUUUUGUGGGGGACCCAAGCGUCAGGGCCCCCACAGCCCACCAUCUUGCUGAUGUCACCAUCUGCUCUGGGAGUUUCCACAGCCCCCCCGGGGAGCCCCGCGUGUAGCCAGUGUUGGAGCAUACCCCACACACAGCUGUUGUGUGGGACAGUGUUGUGUGGGACAGGGGAGAAACAUGGUCUGUUCCUGAGACCUGUUUUAGGGCGCUACACAGGGAGCUCUGUCCUGCUUGGAGAAAUAAGGGAUGAAAAUACAUAACAGAAAAGACGGGCUCAGAAACGUUCCAGCACAAAAGGCUGCGGUUGUCCUCACUAGCUCCUUCCCCCGAGAGGACAUGCUGCACCUUCCCACCACAUGGAGGUGGGUGAUGACGGUGUCACCCUGGCACCGGGAGGGAGGAACAAGGGCAGUUGUUAUAAGUUUGCACUGUCUGAAUGAACAGACCAUCUACUGGGUGGAGACUUCUAGAUGGUGCCAAGAACACAGUGAGAUGAACGGACAAUGUCACCUCUAAGAAGAUUAUGACUGAGUCGAGGACCCAGCAUCACUCGGAUUCAAAAUGGAGCCAGCGUCUAUCUGGAAAGUUCUGGCAUUUUCUGCUGAGGAUUAGGACAGGACUGAAACAGCCCUAUGACUUUGCAUCUUCUACCAUCUUCAUAAAGUCUGAGCUGUGCUUACCCGGGCACCUCGCCAGCCGGUCAGUGUGUGCUCACGGGGGUCCUACUGUGGGCCAGGGCCUGUGUGGACACUGGGCAUGCUGAGGGGAAGAACACAGGGUCCCAGCCCUCCAGCUGCUCACACAGAGUGAUUAUCUUCUGUCUCCUGUGGCAUGAGGUGCAGACUUUUACAAACUCGAAGAUUUUAUGACCCACUCGCUUCUGCCUUCAUUAUGGGGGACACUUUCAUUGCAGAGCAGACUGUCUGGGGGCUUCCAGGCCCACCGAGGCUCUGCAUAUCAGCAGGAGUUAAGCUGGUUCGACAGUCUCCUGCACGGUCCUGCCUUCUUCCCUGGGGGAUGGGGAGUCAAGGAAAUUGACUCUAGCAGCAAACGCUAAGAAUAAGGGUCCUUUGACAGAGGGUGUGCAUGGAAGAAGGGCUUGUGGACAUCUGGGGAACCAGGACAGGUCCUGGGGCCGUGGGAGGAGCGAGCUGCACAGGAGACCUUCUGGGAGAAGCGAGGAAGGAGCCGAGAGCAGAGCUGGAGCCACAGGCCAGUGUGGGGAAAUGAGAAGCCCCAGAGGCCUGACCUCCAGGGUCCCUUCUCAGCGGCAGCCCCCGGGAGGCCCCAUGGGAUGGGCUCUAGGCGGGUGCACGUGGCUCAUGGACAGUUCUCUUGCAGGGCUGUGUGCUGGCCGAGGAAGCAGGGGGACCGACGGGACGCUCCCCAAGCCCUUCCUCAGCACCUGGCCCAGCUUUCUGGCACCUGCCGAGGAUGACCCUGUGAUGCUGGACUGCUAUCAGGAAUGCAGAGUUCACUCUCAGCAAGGGAGAAUCCCGCUGCCCUCUGAGUCCAUGAUGUCCAUGGGCCAUUCAGGAAGGAUGGCUGAAGUCCCCCUCGUUAACCUGAGUCAGCCAGACUCGGGGAAAUACGCCUGCAAAUACUGCCAGAGAGAGGGCCCGCGCCAGUGCUCCCCAGCCACAGACGUCCUUCUCGUGGUUCCAGGUGGGAAGGAAGCAUCCCAGAAAGAUCUGGUCUGACCCAUCCGGCCCUCCCACAUCAGAGGAUGAAGAGGGACUCAGAGGAGAGGACAGAAGUUUACCUAAACCUUCCUUCCUGACUCAGAGAGGCUGAUGGUGACACCAGGAGAGAACGUGACUCUUCAGUGCCAGGAGACAGACCUCAUGAUGGCAUCUGUCACGUUUGCUCUGCUGAAGCCAGGUGCUCCUGAGCCUGCUGACGUCCGAAGACCAUCGGGAACAUGGCUCACCUCGCCCUCGGGACUGUGCGAGCCAGGGACGGUGGCAGCUACUGUCUACUAUCAAGCCGAGGCUCCUUUCUGGGCCUCACGGCCCAGCAACAGCUUAAAACUGUAGGUGAGAGGUAAAGGGAGGACGAAUUUAUAAUUAAAUAACCCUAACCCCUCACUGUUGUGCCCUGUAUCCUUGCCAUGGUCAUUUCCCUUACGCAAACACAGACGCAGACAGAAGCAGACACAGUCGGAUACAAUGUUGCUCUGGACGUUCAGGUUACUUGCUGGAUCACUGAAGAACAGGAAAAAAUGAAACUUCUCACUUUUACCUUCCCUUAUUCCUCCUCUGAUACCUUGCCCUUCUCCACGCAGACCCAAGUUUCUGAUUCACAUCACCUUCCCUUCGCUGAAGAACUUCUGGUAACACUCCGUGCGAGGCAGGUGUACCAGCAACAAAUUCCCUCAGUUUCUGUCGGUCUGAGGAAGGCUUUACUGCUUCACUUUGAAGGACAAUGUCUCAGGGUCCAGGCUGUUAGAUCAGCAUUUUAUUUCUCUCAACACGCUGACAUCUCACAGCACCGUCUUCCCAGGUGGUUCCCAGGGAGUCGGAUGCGAGCCUCACUGUCGCUCCUGUACAGCCGAGCCCUCUCCUCUCGCUUCCUUCAGGAUUCCCUCUGACUUUCUACCUUGAAAGGGUAUGCACAGAGGUAGUUUCUCGGGCUUUAUUUCUGAUGUUUAUCCUCCUUGCUGUUCUCUCAGUUUCUUGGAUUGCGGUUUUGUGUCUGACAUUAAUUUGGAGAAAAUUCAGCUGUCAUUUCUCUUAUCUCUUGUGUUUCUCCCUCUCUGCUCAUGUUGGUACCUAUGACGUGCGGGUCACACCAUCGUCCACAGCCCUUGGACCCUCCAUUCUGGGUUCUUCCAGGCUGGUUUCUGCUUGCUUCCCCGGUUCGGAGGCUUCUGCUGGCGACUCCUCAGGCACCGAUUUCCUCCCUCAGCCGUGCCCAUCGAGGCAUUCUUGUUUCUGUCACAGUGUUUCUGGUCUCCAGAGCUUCUUUUGGAGUCUUUCUCGGGAUUUCCACCUGCUUGCUUACACCGCCCAUCUGUUCCUGCCUGCUGUCUGCUUUACCUGGGGCAGCCCCAGCAUGUGAAUCAGGGUGGUUUUAAGCUCCUGAGAUGAUCCUUCCAACAUUUCCGCCGGAUCUGCAUCUGGUUCUGCUGCUGCUGUGUCUCUUCCAACCGCUUGUUUGGCUUUUGGUACACCCUGUCCUUCGCUCCUGAUGGCCAGCCACAACGCGCCAGGCAAAGGAACUGCUGGAAACUGGCCUUUAGUGACCUGGUCCUGAGGGGCUGGGAGCCUUCUAGGGUCCUGGGAUCAUGGCUCUGGCUUGCAGGAACCUGUGCCCCUGGGCUGUGACCCUCACAGGGCUUCUCAGUCCCCCUGCUGUGGUGGGACACGGUGGCCAGAGCUGGCUAGGGUUGGGUGUUUCUCUCCUUCCAGGUCACUUAGGCUCUGAUCAGACCCCAGGAGGCUAGGCUCAGUAUUUCUUUCUUUUCUGUGUAGUAUUACAUGUAAUAGAACUCUGCUUUAUUUCAAAGUAGAUUUUCCCCUCUCCCCGCCAGAAGCAGAGGGGGAUUUUUCUUGGCUCUUCACCAGAAGAACCUGACAGAGCUCCAGGAGGUGAAACUCCCAGACCCCAUGCCCGGGUCCCUGUGACCAGCUUCCCAGAGUUCCUAACUUGCAGACUUGUCCAAGCCAAGUAUCCCUACCUGGCACGGGUUCCCACGGAGGUUUCGGCUUGUGGGAUCUUGCUCGGCAAACUGUGAUUCUCUGGACUCCCAGGUUGGCUUCUGAGAGCCCCGCAGAGGGCUGCUCUGUGACCUCAUUGCCAUUUCAGAUCUAACAAGAGUUAGAGACUUCUCAGUCUGUUCUGCUUUUUACUCUGUUACCGUGGAGUGACGACUUCCAUGCUCAACCAGAAACCGGAAGCCAAGACCUCUGUCAUCUCGAUCUGGGUAGUCAGGGACUCCGUCUUGCUUAGGGACCAGGGCCUCCAUCAUCAGAGAGGACACACACAAGAGCACUGUCUCUUCAGUCCAUUGUUCUCAGCACCACGCUGGGAGAACAGAGGCCCUGGGAGCCAGCACGAGCUGAGACACACUGGAAGGGACCCUUGCGCACAGAGUGGGAGGCAGGACAGUGACUUUCUCCCCCACAUGACCCAACCUGUGACUAGUAGCAAUCUCUGCCUUUGGGGGUUUGAGGAUUUCCCCUUUCACCAUCCAUUCUCCUCCAUGCAUUAUUUGUUCCCCGUCAUGAUGCAGCACACGCAGAGCAGACCUCUUCUUUGGCCCUUGCCAAUGUACAUUUUACAUAUUUUUAAUUGAUUAUGAAUUUUAAGAAAGCAUUGUCCUAGAGGCCAUGGUAUAUAACGCAUUCUGUGUCCUGGUGCUUCUGUUUCUGUUCCCUGAUGACUCUGGAUGGCAGCUCACUGACCAGCAGGCACAAGCGGGCUCUGAACAUGACAGUCAGAGUAGGAGGGAGGGAGGGUGCUCUGCAGUCAGGGGUGAGCGCUUGUCUCUUUCCAUUUCCUCAGAUAUGGCACCAGGAAAUCACACCAAGAUUAACCUCCUCCGACUGGGUCUGGCGGCCCCCUUUCUGAUUAUUACAUCCUGGCUGAAGCCUGGCUUCCACAAGGAGCCUCUGCGCAGACCCAAACCCCACAGCUGUUGAGGGGAAUGAUGGGUGUUGAUGAAGUUGGACCCACUGACCGUGAACAGUUUCCAGUAGAAUGCGCAUUCUCACCUCUGCUGAGAGCCACUCCGGGACUAGAUGACGGUCUCCUCUUCUGUACUCCUCACCUGGGACAGAGAACAGGACAGCACCUAAGAAUUCAUCCCACAAAUGAUUACUUCAUGCAACGCUGAACACUCCAGCACUCCUGUGUUGCACCAACAGGACAUGCUACUUGGGUCCCACCCCAAAUGUCCAUACACAGACGAACCUUUUUCUGGGAUCAUUACUCUAGCUAUUUGCUGUGUCCUUCUUUCGCAUUUUCCCGAUAGCGAAUGAUACUGAGUGUCUGCUCAUGUACUACUGACCUUUCUAAAAAUGUUUAUUAAAAUACAAUCAACAUAUAAUGCUAUACUAGCUUCGGGCACACAACACACUGAUUCAACGAUUCUAUACACUCCUUGAUGCUCACCGUGCAAGAAAGUGUGCGCAUGCGUGGGAGGCAAAGAGUAAGAAUACUUGAGUUGAAGUCUCCUCCUUCUAGGACUGUGUGUGUGUUCCUGAAAGUUCGCAGGUGGAAACCUUAACCCCCCAAUGUGAUGGUGCUGGGAGGUGGGGCCUUUGAGAGGUAAUUAGGUCAUAAGGAUGCGGUCUUCAUGAAUGGGAUUAGUCUCUUCUUAUAAGAGUCUCUUUUUAUAAGAAAGAUGAUCUCUCUUCACCAUGUGAGGAUAGAGGGCAAAGGCAGCCAUCUAUAAACUGGGAAGAAGGCGCUCACUAAGAAUCCCGUGUUAGCACCCUGGUCUGGGACUUCCAGCCUCCAGAACUGUGGGAAGUAAACAUGUGCUGGUCGGGCCACCCGGUCUGUGGUCCUCCGUUAGGGCGGCCUGAGCUGACGGAGCCCCGCAUGUGGGACAGGGGAGGAGUGCAAGUCCUCCCUUUCUUGGAAUACCCACUGGGAUUCUGUGGUUUUAGGUCACCAAGCAGUGAGCCCUGUCCUGUUUGGAGUAUCGGGGAAUGAAAAGAGACAAUGGAAAAGAUGGCUUCAAAAGCCUUUCCCCGCCAGAGCUAAGGCUGACACACGCAUUUCUCUGCGAGGACAGGGGUAUCCCCAUCUCCAAGCCAGCCCUUCUCCCCUCAGGUCGGCGUGGGUGACUAUGGGGUGGUGUUAGAAGUGGUGCUCACUUCGUGGAGGAAGAUGGUGAGUUCUGGGGACCUGGCAUCUUUUCACAUCCGUGGAAAAAUCUCUGAGGGGCGAUCCCACUGGGCAUCCUCUCAGUCAGCCACUGUGCAUUUGCUGAGGCCCUACUGUGCGCCAGGACCCCUGUCCACAGAUGCCAAGGUUCCCAGCACAGCGUCCCUGCUUUCUGGGCGAGGGACAUCCCACCUCCCGCAGCAUGAGGACAUCCACUUCUAUGAACCUGCUCGAGACUUUACAACCAGAGGGAUGUUAGCAUCCUGGUGACAGCAGUCAGUCCGCUUCUCGCUCCCUUCCGAGCACAAAUCCACGUCCUUACGUGAACGAAAGCGCCUCUGCACAGCUCACUGGGACGCCAGAGACCCAUCCCUGUGCACACGGAAGGCUCCCAGUCUCGGUUGGGAGGCAGUGCUGCCAAGAGAAACCGAGAUGGGUGCCCUGGCACCACCUUCUGGGAAACAGAAGAAAGGAUGCUACCGACCAGCGGGUUGAACCCUGAGAAUCAGAGAAGGUGCUCCCUCCUUCCAGGGUGGGGGCAGAGAGCCUUCUCACCAAACACGGAAAAAUCACGGCAGCAUAGCAUCACGAAAAGCAAAUGACAAUUUCCCAAUAACCAACGAAUCCAAAGACAAUACUGAGAUCUGAGAAAGAAUUCAAAAGAGCUGUGGUGGGGCACCUGGGCGGCACAGGCCGUCGAGUGUCUGACUA